Molecule: transfer RNA, 71 nt
Filed under: Corymbia citriodora subsp. variegata
Lineage: Eukaryota; Viridiplantae; Streptophyta; Magnoliopsida; Myrtales; Myrtaceae
Also listed under: 1 other name
Rfam family: tRNA
About the family: Transfer RNA (tRNA) molecules are approximately 80 nucleotides in length. Their secondary structure includes four short double-helical elements and three loops (D, anti-codon, and T loops).
Source: Rfam by way of RNAcentral
GAGAGUAUAGUUUAAUGGUAAAAUAAGAAGCUUCAAACUUUGAGUUCUUGGUUCGAAUCCAGGUGGUCUCA